AUUGAACGCUGGCGGCAGGCCUAACACAUGCAAGUCGAGCGGUAGAGAGGUGCUUGCAUCUCUUGAGAGCGGCGGACGGGUGAGUAAUGCCUAGGAAUCUGCCUGGUGGUGGGGGGAUAACGUUCGGAAACGGACGCUAAUACCGCAUACGUCCUACGGGAGAAAGCGGGGGAUCUUCGGACCUCGCGCCAUUAGAUGAGCCUAGGUCGGAUUAGCUAGUUGGUGAGGUAAUGGCUCACCAAGGCGACGAUCCGUAACUGGUCUGAGAGGAUGAUCAGUCACACUGGAACUGAGACACGGUCCAGACUCCUACGGGAGGCAGCAGUGGGGGAAUAUUGGACAAUGGCGAAGCCUGAUCCAGCCAUGCCGCGUGUGUG
Molecule: ribosomal RNA, 377 nt
Filed under: uncultured bacterium
Lineage: Bacteria
Description: bacterial SSU rRNA
Rfam family: Bacterial small subunit ribosomal RNA
Source: RNAcentral